Long non-coding RNA from Carassius gibelio (silver crucian carp), 482 nucleotides. RefSeq lists it as uncharacterized. NCBI's taxonomy places the organism in Eukaryota, Metazoa, Chordata, Actinopteri, Cypriniformes, Cyprinidae. The transcript is spliced from 3 exons. The record is from RefSeq and is a predicted model, not a curated record.
UGCAUGAAAUGAAAAUGAGGUUUGAACCGACUUGGCAAAGAACAUGGAAACAUUUAAGAAUGGAAUGGCCCCAAACAUCAUCAGGAGUGCAAAAGAAGGAAGUCAAAAAAAAACAAAAAAACUACGCCAAUCUCAUUGGACUAGCAGAGGAAACCACAGAAGGUCUCGUUAGGAAUGCUGCACUCAUUUUAUUGCCAGCACUAUUUAAAGAAAACGCCAGCUUCCUCUACUGUGUAGAUAGUGAACCCAAAGGUGCUACACCAACCAUAGUGUUUAACGGCUCCCCUGAUCCCCUCAAGGCUGAAAGUGUCAGCAUAAUAAUGGACAAUGUGAACAUCAUAAGAGAGGCAGACAUUGACAUGACACAGGCUGUGGAAUGCCUAUUUGCAGUCUAUUUUCUCUUCAAUGUGCAGUACCCGGUUGACAUUAAGCACACAAUGACUUUUAUUUAAAAAUAUAUGCUUAACCUUAGACAACAGCAC